Molecule: transfer RNA, 73 nt
Filed under: Euryarchaeota archaeon CG01_land_8_20_14_3_00_38_12
Lineage: Archaea; Methanobacteriati; Methanobacteriota
Description: tRNA-Gly
Rfam family: tRNA
About the family: Transfer RNA (tRNA) molecules are approximately 80 nucleotides in length. Their secondary structure includes four short double-helical elements and three loops (D, anti-codon, and T loops). Further hydrogen bonds mediate the characteristic L-shaped molecular structure. tRNAs have two regions of fundamental functional importance: the anti-codon, which is responsible for specific mRNA codon recognition, and the 3' end, to which the tRNAs corresponding amino acid is attached (by aminoacyl-tRNA synthetases). tRNAs cope with the degeneracy of the genetic code in two manners: having more than one tRNA (with a specific anti-codon) for a particular amino acid; and 'wobble' base-pairing, i.e. permitting non-standard base-pairing at the 3rd anti-codon position.
Source: RNAcentral
GCGUCUGUAGUCUAGUCUGGUAGGACCGAGGCUUCCCAAGCCUCUAGCCCGGGUUCAAAUCCCGGCAGGCGCA